RNAcentral lists this ribosomal RNA (494 nucleotides) under uncultured bacterium. RNAcentral's name for it is "partial 16S ribosomal RNA". It matches the Rfam family "Bacterial small subunit ribosomal RNA", at positions 30 to 507 of the family's 1533-position model. The record is from RNAcentral.
AUUGAACGCUGGCGGCAUGCUUUACACAUGCAAGUCGAACGGCAGCGGGGAGGAGCUUGCUUCUCUGCCGGCGAGUGGCGAACGGGUGAGUAAUACAUCGGAACGUGUCGAGAAGAGGGGGAUAACCACCCGAAAGGGUGGCUAAUACCGCAUAAAUUCUGAGGAAGAAAGCUGGGGACCUAGGAAUAGGCCUAGCGCUUUUUGAGCGGCCGAUGUCGGAUUAGCUAGUUGGUGAGGUAAAGGCUCACCAAGGCGAAGAUCUGUAGCGGGUCUGAGAGGAUGAUCCGCCACACUGGGACUGAGACACGGCCCAGACUCCUACGGGAGGCAGCAGUGGGGAAUUUUGGACAAUGGGGGCAACCCUGAUCCAGCCAUGCCGCGUGUAUGAAGAAGGCCUUAGAGUUGUAAAGUACUUUUGUUAGGGAAGAAAAGUCAGCUGUGAAUAAUGGCUGAUACUGACGGUACCUAAAGAAUAAGCACCGGCUAACUACGUG